Molecule: long non-coding RNA, 207 nt
Filed under: Gossypium raimondii (Peruvian cotton)
Lineage: Eukaryota; Viridiplantae; Streptophyta; Magnoliopsida; Malvales; Malvaceae
Description: long non-coding RNA (GRAI_LNC002020)
Source: RNAcentral
AUCAUCUUCAGUCAAUAUUUAGUCCCUCAAAGGUAUAUGGAAUUAAACAAAAAUAAAAGGAAAAAUAAAUUAAAAUAAAAAAAGAAAAAGAAAGGAUUUCUUAUUUCCCACGGAAUUGGUGCAGGCAGCGCAUGCAGUCUCAAAUGGACCCAUUCAAUUUAGCCACGGCUUUUAUAAUUGGCUUUUUUUUUUGUCUGUUCUUCAAAC